Molecule: ribosomal RNA, 506 nt
Filed under: uncultured bacterium
Lineage: Bacteria
Description: partial 16S ribosomal RNA
Rfam family: Bacterial small subunit ribosomal RNA
Source: RNAcentral
AGUGAACGCUGGCGGUAGGCCUAACACACGCAAGUCGAACGGCAGCACAGAGGAGCUUGCUCCUUGGGUGGCGAGUGGCGGACGGGUGAGGAAUACAUCGGAAUCUACUUUUUCGUGGGGGAUAACGUAGGGAAACUUACGCUAAUACCGCAUACGACCUACGGGUGAAAGCAGGGGACCUUCGGGCCUUGCGCGAUUGAAUGAGCCGAUGUCGGAUUAGCUAGUUGGCGGGGUAAAGGCCCACCAAGGCGACGAUCCGUAGCUGGUCUGAGAGGAUGAGCAGCCACACUGGAACUGAGACACGGGCCAGACUCCUACGGGAGGCAGCAGUGGGGAAUAUUGGACAAUGGGCGCAAGCCUGAUCCAGCCAUACCGCGUGGGUGAAGAAGGCCUUCGGGUUGUAAAGCCCUUUUGUUGGGAAAGAAAUUCAGCUGGCUAAUACCCGGUUGGGAUGAUGGUACCCAAAGAAUAAGCACCGGCUAACUUCGUGCCAGCCGCCGCGGUAA